GAAUAUUGGACAAUGGGCGCAAGCCUGAUCCAGCCAUGCCGCGUGAGUGAAGAAGGCCUUAGGGUUGUAAAGCUCUUUCACCCGUGACGAUGAUGACGGUAGCGGGAGAAGAAGCCCCGGCUAACUCCGUGCCAGCAGCCGCGGUAAUACAGAGGGGGCGAGCGUUGUUCGGAAUUACUGGGCGUAAAGGGCGCGUAGGCGGCCUGUUAAGUCGAACGUGAAAUCCCCGGGCUCAACCCGGGAACUGCGUCCGAUACUGGCAGGCUUGAAUCCGGGAGAGGGAUGUGGAAUUCCAGGUGUAGCGGUGAAAUGCGUAGAUAUCUGGAGGAACACCGGUGGCGAAGGCGGCAUCCUGGACCGGCAUUGACGCUGAGGCGCGAAAGCCAGGGGAGCAAACGGG
This 400-nucleotide ribosomal RNA is filed under the name uncultured bacterium. Its description in RNAcentral is "bacterial SSU rRNA". It matches the Rfam family "Bacterial small subunit ribosomal RNA", at positions 359 to 776 of the family's 1533-position model. The record is from RNAcentral.